GACAUUAUUUCCAUGUAUGUGUGCUCAAGAUGUGUGUAUGUGUGCUCCUAAAUGUAUACAUUAAGCUGACGUGAGAUUGUUUUAUGAUCAGCAUUGCUUCGGCUUGACAAGGGAACUCAUAUACCAUACAACCUAUAUAUAUAUAAAGGUGUAACACAUUAUUCUUGCCAUUGACUCUAUCUCAUACUCUCUCACGUCCAACAACUGUUUGGCUGGAUUACUGGAGUCACAUGCCACCUUAGUUCAAAGAGGGGUCGGGGAGAGUUUGGCAUGUGGCUGGCAGUGCCGAGGAAUGUCUAUUCGCACAGUUUGCCCCCCGAGAGCAACCGCCCGUGGGCCGAACGCUAUGCCUACAAUCUGAAAUAGCCAGCACAGUACUUCCCCUGUCUGCUUUCAAGGCGUAUGAUGGCCUAAUUAUUGUUCAGUGAUGUUUUUUCACUCGCUGAAUGAGACUAGGAUAGUUUCCCUCGCAGGAUCAUUUGUUGUUGUUGUCCCAGAAUUACACUAGACAAGACCCAAUUUGAUCUGCUCCCUUUUCAGCUGCCUAUACAGAUGACUGUCUGAGGUUCAAUUUGGUAGACUUCCUAGACCACUGAGGAGGAAAAGCUGAACUGAAACUGGGAUAAAAACUGGGUUAAAUACAGUCGUUUUUGCAUUGGCAGAAGGGGCCACCUGUUGCUGGGAUUGGGUGGCCUUUGUUCCAGGGUCAUCCUGACCUGGGACUUUCACAAUGCAGUCCUACCCAGGGAGUUCCUCUCCUCACCGACGGGCUGGGAACGCCGCAGAGCGCACAUCGGACACUCUCCUGGGAACGGCCAAUCCAGUGAACAUGUCAGCUGCCAGCUUAGCUGGAAAUAACAGACUUGCAAGCUGCACAUAAGUCGAAGAUCCAGAGAGGAUCCAACCUAGCAACUGGGUUUCAGAGUUGACAAAAUACCUGCUUUCAUCUCAACAAUUCAAAAGGAAAAGAUGCAUUUUGUGUGUAACAUGAUUCACCACAUCUGUGAUCUGUUGUCAUAAUAAAUUCAUGAUAUUCUGACAAAUACAGCUAUUUGGAAUAUUGAAACCAUUAAAAAGUCA
This is a long non-coding RNA of Clupea harengus (Atlantic herring), 1080 nucleotides long. The record is from Ensembl. Lineage: Eukaryota; Metazoa; Chordata; Actinopteri; Clupeiformes; Clupeidae.